GAAAAGGCGUUCUUGGAUGUUUGUUCUUUGUGUGCUUUCAGGCCUAAUCGACAGGACGGGAGAUUUAAUUAAGCAGGCAACAAGCUGUAGUUGAUGUCCAGGUGUUGGAAAGGCAAGUUACUUGUUGGCAGAAUUGCCUUGUUAAGUUUAAGGUCUUCACAGGCUUCAGGGAUGUCUGACCUAGGCGAGGUUAGCAAGGCUUGGGAAGAAGGAUGUACCACUGAUGGUGGACACAAAGAACGCAGAACUUAUGGGCACAAGGACAUUCAGCAGAACCCCCAAGACAAGGAGCCAACUAAAAAAGCCGAUGCAGCAGCUGUGUUGAAUCAGCUCCAGCAGGGCAAAAGGUGAUUCCCACAGGGGCAAAUGAAGGCCAUCGACUCACAGUCACCAGUUCAAGAAACCACUGACUGAAAAGAAUGACUGAGGAGGGAGAUUAAUUAGCAUGAGAGGCAAGAGGAUUAUUACCCAACUGCAAACAGAAUACUAAUUAUUACGAAAACAAGGAUGCUACUCAUCAGGAGCAGAGGUUUCACUGAACUCAGGUCUGUGGAGACCCAGAGGACCACAGCUCUGAAGCAGGAAAGAGGUGUUAUUCCUGACACUAGCAUUAAUCUCUGGAAUGUUUUGUGGCAAAUCACUUGCUCUUCAUUCAUUGCCAGGAGAGACUAAAUGAGCAGUGAGUGUCAGUGGCCGGGAGGAGCAGCCAGGAGAGAGAGGUGACCCUGAAAACCCUGAAAAGAUGUGGAGUCCUCUGGGUUGCCUGGUCCUGGCAAUAUCUGGGGCCAGGCAUAUAUUUAGGAGGCUGCUCCAAGGCCUCAUAAGUUGAUUGGUGUAUCCUGGAGGAUAUUCUUACAUAACCUUAGGCCUGCUGUUUUUGCCAUUUAUUCCUUUUUUUCAUGACAACCAUCUGACUGUGCUUUAGCUAACAAAGCUUACAUGUUUAACAGGGACACAGCAACAUGCCAAAGUUAAAACUGUUGACUGCAGCAUCAGCCUCAUUAUUCAACUACACAAGCUAGCCAGGAUGCCUGCAUGUAUGCUUUGUGUUAAUUGUUGUGGAAAAUGCCACUGUAAAGGUGAUUCAUAAGGACAGUUUUCCACAGCCAUGACUCAACAUGUGCAGCCCUAACACAGCAUGUAGCAGCCUCAUCUCACCAAUGAUAGGUCUCCAGAGACAUGAGAUGCUUCUGAAGGUACUGUUGUUUAUCUGUAGCCUGAUUCCCUAGAACUGCUUGCUGUGUACAUCUCCCAAGUGUUUAAGUGUCUGCCAGACUUCUGUCAGCAGGAUUAAUGUCUCCAGCUGUGUCACUAUUGGAUUAUUUCCCUUUGAUAUCCUCAGAGUUUUCCAAGCUCACCAGCUGUAACACUUUGUUAGUGUUAAUCUUUGCAAGGACUACCAAAAAACACAGAUGUGUGAA
This is a long non-coding RNA of Parus major (Great Tit), 1421 nucleotides long. RefSeq lists it as uncharacterized. NCBI's taxonomy places the organism in Eukaryota, Metazoa, Chordata, Aves, Passeriformes, Paridae. The record is from RefSeq and is a predicted model, not a curated record. The transcript has 3 exons.